RNAcentral lists this ribosomal RNA (962 nucleotides) under Mycobacterium sp. URHB0018. RNAcentral describes it as "bacterial SSU rRNA". It matches the Rfam family "Bacterial small subunit ribosomal RNA", at positions 56 to 1035 of the family's 1533-position model. Lineage: Bacteria; Bacillati; Actinomycetota; Actinomycetes; Mycobacteriales; Mycobacteriaceae. The record is from RNAcentral.
UGCAGUCGAACGGUAAGGCCCUUCGGGGUACACGAGUGGCGAACGGGUGAGUAACACGUGGGUGAUCUGCCCUGCACUUUGGGAUAAGCCUGGGAAACUGGGUCUAAUACCGAAUACACCUCUCUGGCUGCAUGGCUGGUGGGGGAAAGCUUUUGCGGUGUGGGAUGGGCCCGCGGCCUAUCAGCUUGUUGGUGGGGUGAUGGCCUACCAAGGCGACGACGGGUAGCCGGCCUGAGAGGGUGUCCGGCCACACUGGGACUGAGAUACGGCCCAGACUCCUACGGGAGGCAGCAGUGGGGAAUAUUGCACAAUGGGCGCAAGCCUGAUGCAGCGACGCCGCGUGGGGGAUGACGGCCUUCGGGUUGUAAACCCCUUUCAGCACAGACGAAGCGCAAGUGACGGUAUGUGCAGAAGAAGCACCGGCCAACUACGUGCCAGCAGCCGCGGUAAUACGUAGGGUGCGAGCGUUGUCCGGAAUUACUGGGCGUAAAGAGCUCGUAGGUGGUUUGUCGCGUUGUUCGUGAAAACUCACAGCUCAACUGUGGGCGUGCGGGCGAUACGGGCAGACUAGAGUACUGCAGGGGAGACUGGAAUUCCUGGUGUAGCGGUGGAAUGCGCAGAUAUCAGGAGGAACACCGGUGGCGAAGGCGGGUCUCUGGGCAGUAACUGACGCUGAGGAGCGAAAGCGUGGGGAGCGAACAGGAUUAGAUACCCUGGUAGUCCACGCCGUAAACGGUGGGUACUAGGUGUGGGUUUCCUUCCUUGGGAUCCGUGCCGUAGCUAACGCAUUAAGUACCCCGCCUGGGGAGUACGGCCGCAAGGCUAAAACUCAAAGAAAUUGACGGGGGCCCGCACAAGCGGCGGANCAUGUGGAUUAAUUCGAUGCAACGCGAAGAACCUUACCUGGGUUUGACAUGCACAGGACGCUGGUAGAGAUAUCAGUUCCCUUGUGGCCUGUGUGC